GGAAUAUUGGACAAUGGGCGCAAGCCUGAUCCAGCCAUGCCGCGUGCAGGAUGACGGUCCUAUGGAUUGUAAACUGCUUUUGUACAGGAAGAAACACUCCGACGUGUCGGAGCUUGACGGUACUGUAAGAAUAAGGAUCGGCUAACUCCGUGCCAGCAGCCGCGGUAAUACGGAGGAUCCAAGCGUUAUCCGGAAUCAUUGGGUUUAAAGGGUCCGUAGGCGGUUUAAUAAGUCAGUGGUGAAAGCCCAUCGCUCAACGGUGGAACGGCCAUUGAUACUGCUAAACUUGAAUUAUUAGGAAGUAACUAGAAUAUGUAGUGUAGCGGUGAAAUGCUUAGAGAUUACAUGGAAUACCAAUUGCGAAGGCAGGUUACUACUAAUAUAUUGACGCUGAUGGACGAAAGCUAGGGGAGCGAAUGGGAUUAGAUACCCGAG
This 435-nucleotide ribosomal RNA is filed under the name uncultured Flavobacterium sp. RNAcentral's name for it is "bacterial SSU rRNA". It matches the Rfam family "Bacterial small subunit ribosomal RNA", at positions 358 to 790 of the family's 1533-position model. Lineage: Bacteria; Pseudomonadati; Bacteroidota; Flavobacteriia; Flavobacteriales; Flavobacteriaceae. The record is from RNAcentral.